UUUAAGGUCUAACCUGCCCAAUGAGGAUUUAAAUGGCCGCAGUAUUUUGACUGUGCAAAGGUAGCAUAAUUAUUAGUUUUUUAAUUGAAAGCUUGUAUGAAGGGUUGGACGAGAUAAAAUCUGUCUUUAUUUAAAUUAAAAUAUAACUUAACUUUUAAGUCAAAAGGCUUAAAUACAUGUAAAAGACGAGAAGACCCUAUAGAUCUUUAUUUAAUUGGGGUUUUAAUAAUUUAAGAUUAUUUUAAUUUAAAAUUUUAAUUAAAUUUUAUUGGGGUAAUAUAAAGAUUAAAUAAAUUCUUUUUAUUUAUAACAUUGAUUUAUGAAUAUAUGAUCCAUUAAUGUUGAUUAUAAGAUUAAGUUACCUUAGGGAUAACAGCGUAAUUUUUUUGGAGAGCUCAUAUCGAUAAAAAAGUUUGCGACCUCGAUGUUGGAUUAAAAGUUAGCUUGGGUGUAGAAGCUCAAGAUUUUGGUCUGUUCGACCAUUAAAUUUUUACAUGAUCUGAGUUCAGACCGGCGUAAGCCAGGUCGGUUUCUAUCUUUAUUUAAAUAAAAUAUUUUAGUACGAAAGGACCAAAUAUUUAAUAUAAUUAUAUUUAUUUUUUGGAGAAUAUU
Molecule: ribosomal RNA, 612 nt
Filed under: Cicindela (Rivacindela) sp. JP-88
Lineage: Eukaryota; Metazoa; Arthropoda; Insecta; Coleoptera; Carabidae
Description: partial 16S ribosomal RNA
Rfam family: Bacterial large subunit ribosomal RNA
Source: RNAcentral